Long non-coding RNA from Heterocephalus glaber (naked mole-rat), 2449 nucleotides. NCBI's taxonomy places the organism in Eukaryota, Metazoa, Chordata, Mammalia, Rodentia, Bathyergidae. The record is from Ensembl.
GUUUCCAAGCAGCCAUGAUCACUAGCCCUCAGUUCUGAAAUGAUGGGACAGUCCAGCUCCUCCCACAACCUGCAGCCCUGUCUUUCCCAGCGGAGGCUGAAGCUCCCACAGUUGGUCCUGCUGUGGAGGAUGGAGGAGAAGGUGCUUCCUGUAGUGCUCAGUAAUUGCCAGAAAUCAUUGCAGCUUAGAGACUGGAGAAAACAUGAUACCCAAACACCCCUCAAAUCUGCCUGCAGCAUCCUUUGAAAAGAAAGGGAUUGAACUUGGGAUCUUGCACUUGCAAGGCAGAUGGUGGAACCACUGAGCUAAAUCCCCAGUCUUAAUAUGAACAAAUUUUAUUUGUUAUAUGUGCCUUGAUAAAGCUGGAAGGGGAACACAAGGAACAUUUUCAAGUCACCAUGUGUUUACCCUUUCUUCUCAGCCAGUGAGAUGUUUCCAUCAAGCACAAGGAAUUGUAUUAAUUCCCUCCUUCAACAAGUAUUUAUUAGGCACCACAACACACGAGGUCUGCAAUGGCUGGGAAUGUGUCUAUGAGCAGAGACACAGAUGGUCCUUCGCAGAGCUGAGGUUCCAGGUGACAUUCGACCCAAGCAAAUGAUGAGCCAUGAUCGUGAUGAGUGUCACAAAUGAGAGCUCAGGGAGGUGGGGGUGGGGGAGCCAUGUGGGCAAAAGCUUAGAAGAAGGGAGCAAGUCCUGUGUCUGGGAAGGGGUAGCAAGAACACAGAUCCAUAGGGGAGACUGUUCCCAUGCUGGCGAAGCAGCCAGGGAGGGUCCCAGUGAACGUGGGGGAAAUUAGGAAUGGGGAGGGAAGCCAUAGAAAAAAGACAAAUGGAUGCAGGUCACAGUAAGAAUGGAGUCUACACUGCAUGAGCCAUGCCACCUUCAGAACAGAGCUGAGUGGCAGGACCAUGUGACUCAGAGGGCAGGGGCAGUGAGACCAGGUGGUGGCAGAGACGUGGUGUUGGACCUGCCCUGAAGGAGGAGUCAGCAUGAGCCCCUGAUGACUGGGUCUUAAGUUUGCUGUGCACAAGGAUUUAAGGACCACACCAACCAAGCCUGGCCUGGCAUCAUCAACUGAGAAAAGGAAGCCUCCAGCAACACCAGGUUUGGGGAGAAAUUAGGAAUUUGGUGUGUACAUGCGAAGUCUGAGUUGCCCAUAAGAUAUCUAAGAAAGAAUAUAGGGCAGACAAUUGAAUGUGUGAGUCUGGACUACAGAGACAUGCUGAUGACAGGCGUGAUAUCGUUUCGUCAGCUCGUGUGUGGAUGAUGAGAGGACUGAAGAGGGAGUGUAGACCCAGAGUAGGGAACACACAUAUUCAAUCUAGGAACUAUGAAGUAUGGCCGAGUGACAGACACUGAGAGGGAAGACGUAGAGAAACUACCUGCCAAACAGUCUGCAUGAGAGUGAGAGCUUAUCAGCACAAGAGCAGCACCUGAGUGCAGACGCCAUUCAGCUCUGUCUGAGUUUGAAGCAAUCCUUAUGCCCCUCACUACAGUGUAGCCAGCCAUAAACCUGAUAGGGCCCUGGGGCCACCCUAUUAAAGAGAACAGGCUCUGGCUAGUUGCCAGCUGAUUGCUUCACUCUUCCUGGGGCCAAGCUGGAUUCAGUGAAGGACGCCACACAGCAGUGGAUACACAUAGGGUCCUCCACACCCAGCCUUGGGCCAAGACCCAGGUCCUUUGUACCCGCUGGACAUUGACCUGGCUGUGUCAAUAAACAGAGUCACUGGAGUUAGUUCUACCUGGUACAGUCCUGUACUCCAGGUUUGCCAGACAGAGGUGGAGCCAGAUGGACAGCGCAGAGGUGUGGUACUUGGCUGUGACUGGCAGUGACUCUAGCUGGGUUUCCUUUCUUAAGCUAUCAGAACAUCUUGUUUUGGCCUUAGGAAGAAAAGCAUUCUCUUGGAUCCUUGAACUAUGUGUGAAGCUUGUGAAUACUUGCUGCCUAGAAGACAAGGUGACAAUUAAGUCCCCGGUCCACAGUGAGUGUCCAGGGGUCAUACACAGCAGCGGGCUGCAGACCUGGAAGGCUCAGCUGGAGGAAAGUCUGAGCAGACAUUCAUAUUCCCUGGGGCUGGUCCCACAGGGAGAGGGGGAAGGGGGAGGGGAGGAGGGAAUUGUGUGGCCAGCUGAGCCACAUGUGAUCCAGAUCAUACCACCUGCCUGCACACAUCUUGUCUCUCAAACUUGCAUCCUCUUAUCUGUAAAGUGGGCAUGUUAGUCUGCUCAAGAGCCAUAACACAGCGCCACAGAUUGGGUAGCUUAAACAACUAGACUCAUUUUCUCGUGGCUCUAGAGAAUAGAGGUUCAAAUUCAAGGUGUGGACAGGGCUUGCUCCUCCUGAGGCUUAUCUCCUUGGCUGGCAGAUACCAUCUUCUCCCUGUGUCCUCAUCUCUUCUUAUAAGGGCAUCAGUCCUAUUGGAUUAUGACCUCAUUUUAACUUGGCUAC